GAUGAUCCCGGUUUCGGCCGGGGGAUUAGUGGCGAACGGGUGAGUAACACGUGGGUAACCUGCCCCCGACUCCGGGAUAAGCCUGGGAAACCGGGUCUAAUACCGGAUACGACCUCCUGCCGCAUGGCGGGGGGUGGAAAGAUUUCUCGGUCGGGGAUGGACUCGCGGCCUAUCAGCUUGUUGGCGGGGUAACGGCCCACCAAGGCGACGACGGGUAGCCGGCCUGAGAGGGUGACCGGCCACACUGGGACUGAGACACGGCCCAGACUCCUACGGGAGGCAGCAGUGGGGAAUAUUGCACAAUGGGCGCAAGCCUGAUGCAGCGACGCCGCGUGAGGGAUGACGGCCUUCGGGUUGUAAACCUCUUUCGGCAGGGAAGAAGCGCAAGUGACGGUACCUGCGGAAGAAGCGCCGGCUAACUACGUGCCAGCAGCCGCGGUAAUACGUAGGGCGCAAGCGUUGUCCGGAAUUAUUGGGCGUAAAGAGCUCGUAGGCGGUUUGCCGCGUCUGCCGUGAAAGCCCGGGGCUCAACCCCGGGUCUGCGGUGGGUACGGGCAGACUGGAGUGCAGUAGGGGAGACCGGAAUUCCUGGUGUAGCGGUGAAAUGCGCAGAUAUCAGGAGGAACACCGAUGGCGAAGGCAGGUCUCUGGGCUGUAACUGACGCUGAGGAGCGAAAGCAUGGGGAGCGAACAGGAUUAGAUACCCUGGUAGUCCAUGCCGUAAACGUUGGGCACUAGGUGUGGGGGACAUUCCACGUCUUCCGCGCCGCAGCUAACGCAUUAAGUGCCCCGCCUGGGGAGUAC
Molecule: ribosomal RNA, 804 nt
Filed under: Arthrobacter sp.
Lineage: Bacteria; Bacillati; Actinomycetota; Actinomycetes; Micrococcales; Micrococcaceae
Description: bacterial SSU rRNA
Rfam family: Bacterial small subunit ribosomal RNA
Source: RNAcentral